UGGGGAAUAUUGCACAAUGGGGGAAACCCUGAUGCAGCAACGCCGCGUGCGGGAUGACGGCCUUCGGGUUGUAAUCCGCUUUCAGCCAUGACGAAGCUUUUGUGACGGUAGUGGCAGAAGAAGCACCGGCUAACUACGUGCCAGCAGCCGCGGUGAUACGUAGGGUGCGAGCGUUGUCCGGAAUUAUUGGGCGUAAAGAGCUUGUAGGCGGUUUGUCGCGUCGAAAGUGUAAACUCAGUGCUUAACGCUGAGCCUGCUUUCGAUACGGGCUGACUAGAGGAAGGUAGGGGAGAAUGGAAUUCCCGGUGGAGCGGUGGAAUGCGCAGAUAUCGGGAGGAACACCAGUGGCGAAGGCGGUUCUCUGGACCUUUCCUGACGCUGAGAAGCGAAAGCGUGGGUAGCAAACAGG
RNAcentral lists this ribosomal RNA (409 nucleotides) under bacterium. RNAcentral describes it as "partial 16S ribosomal RNA". It matches the Rfam family "Bacterial small subunit ribosomal RNA", at positions 355 to 776 of the family's 1533-position model. The record is from RNAcentral.